This is a long non-coding RNA of Corvus hawaiiensis (hawaiian crow), 889 nucleotides long. RefSeq lists it as uncharacterized. NCBI's taxonomy places the organism in Eukaryota, Metazoa, Chordata, Aves, Passeriformes, Corvidae. The transcript is spliced from 2 exons. The record is from RefSeq and is a predicted model, not a curated record.
CUGCAUGCAAAGCAGCGUGGCCAGAAGGUCAAAGGAGGUGAUUCUCCUCUCCUCCACUCUGGUGAGACCCCACCUGCAGUGCUGCAUCCAGAUCUGGUGACCUCAACAGAAGAAGGACAUGGAGCUGUUGGAGCAAGUCUAGAGGAGGUCACAAAGUUGAUAGGAAGACUGGAGCACCUUGCUUAGGAAGACAGGCUGAGAAUGUUGGAGCUGUUCCUUGAGGAGAAGAGAAGGUUGUGGAGAGACCUCAUAGCAACCUUCCAGUAUCUGAAGGGGGGCUGAAGAGAAGCCUGAAGAGAGGGACUCUUCCUCAGGAACUGCAGUGAUAGUACAAGGAAUAAUGGGUACAAAUUGAAAGAGAGGAAAUUUAGGAUGGUAAAAUACUGGCACGGGUUGCCCAGGGUGGUUUUGGAUGCCCCAUCUCUGUUAGUGUUCAAAGCCAGGUUGAAUGGGGCUUUGAGUAACUUGGUCUAGUGGGAGAUGUCUAAGCAUGUGGAACUUCAUCUUUAAGGUCCAUUCCAACCCUUCACAUUUUAUGACUCAAUGAAAAUAAUACCUUAGUGUGCACAAAUCUAUCACCACCCUACAAGAAAAAUAAUUUCAUGCACUUUUUAACCUACAGGAAAGUCUACAAGAACCAUAAUAUAGUAGUAAACCUCUAUCUUGUAUUUGUAGAUGUUUUGUUGUUGUUGCUCUUAGGACAGCUCUUGGGAAAAUGACAGCCCUGCUGGCAAAGGGAAAAAGGACAGAGCUGCGCUACUAAUACAUCAUUUCAAAUUGAUGGGGACAACUAAAGGAGCUGCUGUGAAAUCAAGCUAUCCUCAACAAUGGGGUUCUCAAUACCAGAACUCAUCCCAAAAAUAAUAAAAUAUAUAAGACCGAAAGAAAA